This 2234-nucleotide ribosomal RNA is filed under the name Shigella sonnei. RNAcentral describes it as "partial 23S ribosomal RNA". It matches the Rfam family "Bacterial large subunit ribosomal RNA", at positions 474 to 2693 of the family's 2925-position model. The record is from RNAcentral. Lineage: Bacteria; Pseudomonadati; Pseudomonadota; Gammaproteobacteria; Enterobacterales; Enterobacteriaceae.
UCCUGACUGACCGAUAGUGAACCAGUACCGUGAGGGAAAGGCGAAAAGAACCCCGGCGAGGGGAGUGAAAAAGAACCUGAAACCGUGUACGUACAAGCAGUGGGAGCACGCUUAGGCGUGUGACUGCGUACCUUUUGUAUAAUGGGUCAGCGACUUAUAUUCUGUAGCAAGGUUAACCGAAUAGGGGAGCCGAAGGGAAACCGAGUCUUAACUGGGCGUUAAGUUGCAGGGUAUAGACCCGAAACCCGGUGAUCUAGCCAUGGGCAGGUUGAAGGUUGGGUAACACUAACUGGAGGACCGAACCGACUAAUGUUGAAAAAUUAGCGGAUGACUUGUGGCUGGGGGUGAAAGGCCAAUCAAACCGGGAGAUAGCUGGUUCUCCCCGAAAGCUAUUUAGGUAGCGCCUCGUGAAUUCAUCUCCGGGGGUAGAGCACUGUUUCGGCAAGGGGGUCAUCCCGACUUACCAACCCGAUGCAAACUGCGAAUACCGGAGAAUGUUAUCACGGGAGACACACGGCGGGUGCUAACGUCCGUCGUGAAGAGGGAAACAACCCAGACCGCCAGCUAAGGUCCCAAAGUCAUGGUUAAGUGGGAAACGAUGUGGGAAGGCCCAGACAGCCAGGAUGUUGGCUUAGAAGCAGCCAUCAUUUAAAGAAAGCGUAAUAGCUCACUGGUCGAGUCGGCCUGCGCGGAAGAUGUAACGGGGCUAAACCAUGCACCGAAGCUGCGGCAGCGACGCUUAUGCGUUGUUGGGUAGGGGAGCGUUCUGUAAGCCUGCGAAGGUGUGCUGUGAGGCAUGCUGGAGGUAUCAGAAGUGCGAAUGCUGACAUAAGUAACGAUAAAGCGGGUGAAAAGCCCGCUCGCCGGAAGACCAAGGGUUCCUGUCCAACGUUAAUCGGGGCAGGGUGAGUCGACCCCUAAGGCGAGGCCGAAAGGCGUAGUCGAUGGGAAACAGGUUAAUAUUCCUGUACUUGGUGUUACUGCGAAGGGGGGACGGAGAAGGCUAUGUUGGCCGGGCGACGGUUGUCCCGGUUUAAGCGUGUAGGCUGGUUUUCCAGGCAAAUCCGGAAAAUCAAGGCUGAGGCGUGAUGACGAGGCACUACGGUGCUGAAGCAACAAAUGCCCUGCUUCCAGGAAAAGCCUCUAAGCAUCAGGUAACAUCAAAUCGUACCCCAAACCGACACAGGUGGUCAGGUAGAGAAUACCAAGGCGCUUGAGAGAACUCGGGUGAAGGAACUAGGCAAAAUGGUGCCGUAACUUCGGGAGAAGGCACGCUGAUAUGUAGGUGAAGUCCCUUGCGGAUGGAGCUGAAAUCAGUCGAAGAUACCAGCUGGCUGCAACUGUUUAUUAAAAACACAGCACUGUGCAAACACGAAAGUGGACGUAUACGGUGUGACGCCUGCCCGGUGCCGGAAGGUUAAUUGAUGGGGUCAGCGCAAGCGAAGCUCUUGAUCGAAGCCCCGGUAAACGGCGGCCGUAACUAUAACGGUCCUAAGGUAGCGAAAUUCCUUGUCGGGUAAGUUCCGACCUGCACGAAUGGCGUAAUGAUGGCCAGGCUGUCUCCACCCGAGACUCAGUGAAAUUGAACUCGCUGUGAAGAUGCAGUGUACCCGCGGCAAGACGGAAAGACCCCGUGAACCUUUACUAUAGCUUGACACUGAACAUUGAGCCUUGAUGUGUAGGAUAGGUGGGAGGCUUUGAAGUGUGGACGCCAGUCUGCAUGGAGCCGGCCUUGAAAUACCACCCUUUAAUGUUUGAUGUUCUAACGUGGACCCGUGAUCCGGGUUGCGGACAGUGUCUGGUGGGUAGUUUGACUGGGGCGGUCUCCUCCUAAAGAGUAACGGAGGAGCACGAAGGUUGGCUAAUCCUGGUCGGACAUCAGGAGGUUAGUGCAAUGGCAUAAGCCAGCUUGACUGCGAGCGUGACGGCGCGAGCAGGUGCGAAAGCAGGUCAUAGUGAUCCGGUGGUUCUGAAUGGAAGGGCCAUCGCUCAACGGAUAAAAGGUACUCCGGGGAUAACAGGCUGAUACCGCCCAAGAGUUCAUAUCGACGGCGGUGUUUGGCACCUCGAUGUCGGCUCAUCACAUCCUGGGGCUGAAGUAGGUCCCAAGGGUAUGGCUGUUCGCCAUUUAAAGUGGUACGCGAGCUGGGUUUAGAACGUCGUGAGACAGUUCGGUCCCUAUCUGCCGUGGGCGCUGGAGAACUGAGGGGGGCUGCUCCUAGUACGAGAGGACC